RNAcentral lists this ribosomal RNA (448 nucleotides) under uncultured Bradyrhizobiaceae bacterium. Its description in RNAcentral is "bacterial SSU rRNA". It matches the Rfam family "Bacterial small subunit ribosomal RNA", at positions 156 to 638 of the family's 1533-position model. Lineage: Bacteria; Pseudomonadati; Pseudomonadota; Alphaproteobacteria; Hyphomicrobiales; Nitrobacteraceae. The record is from RNAcentral. RNAcentral also lists the same sequence under 1 other name.
CUUGGUGCUAAUACCGGAUAAGCCCUUACGGGGAAAGAUUUAUCGCCGAAAGAUUGGCCCGCGUCUGAUUAGCUAGUUGGUGAGGUAACGGCUCACCAAGGCGACGAUCAGUAGCUGGUCUGAGAGGAUGAUCAGCCACAUUGGGACUGAGACACGGCCCAAACUCCUACGGGAGGCAGCAGUGGGGAAUAUUGGACAAUGGGGGCAACCCUGAUCCAGCCAUGCUGCGUGAGUGAUGAAGGCCCUAGGGUUGUAAAGCUCUUUUGUGCGGGAAGAUAAUGACGGUACCGCAAGAAUAAGCCCCGGCUAACUUCGUGCCAGCAGCCGCGGUAAUACGAAGGGGGCUAGCGUUGCUCGGAAUCACUGGGCGUAAAGGGUGCGUAGGCGGGUCUUUAAGUCAGGGGUGAAAUCCUGGAGCUCAACUCCAGAACUGCCUUUGAUACUGAGG